This 468-nucleotide ribosomal RNA is filed under the name uncultured bacterium. RNAcentral's name for it is "partial 16S ribosomal RNA". It matches the Rfam family "Bacterial small subunit ribosomal RNA", at positions 28 to 507 of the family's 1533-position model. The record is from RNAcentral.
GACGAACGCUGGCGGCGCGCCUAACACAUGCAAGUCGAACGGAGCUGAGAGAAGCUUGCUUUUCUUAGCUUAGUGGCGAACGGGUGAGUAACGCGUGAGUAACCUGCCCUGGAGUGGGGGACAACAGUUGGAAACGACUGCUAAUACCGCAUAAGCCCACGAUCCGGCAUCGGAUUGAGGGAAAAGGAUUUAUUCGCUUCAGGAUGGACUCGCGUCCAAUUAGCUAGUUGGUGAGGUAACGGCCCACCAAGGCGACGAUUGGUAGCCGGACUGAGAGGUUGAGCGGCCACAUUGGGACUGAGACACGGCCCAGACUCCUACGGGAGGCAGCAGUGGGGGAUAUUGCACAAUGGGGGAAACCCUGAUGCAGCGACGCCGCGUGGAGGAAGAAGGUUUUCGGAUUGUAAACUCCUGUCGUUAGGGACGAUAAUGACGGUACCUAACAAGAAAGCACCGGCUAACUACGUG